This 5665-nucleotide long non-coding RNA is filed under the name Homo sapiens (human). RNAcentral describes it as "HSALNT0060540". The record is from RNAcentral. Lineage: Eukaryota; Metazoa; Chordata; Mammalia; Primates; Hominidae.
AGAUUCCCUAGUUUUCUUUUUCUUAUCUUUGUUUUCUUUUGAGACAGGUCUUCACUCUGUCAGCCAGGCUGGAGUAUAGUGGCACAAUCAUGGCUCACUGCAGCCUCAACCUCCUGGGCUGAAGUAGUUCUCCCACCUCAGCCUCCCAAGUAACCGGGACUACAGGUGCAUGCCACCAUGCUCCGUAAGUUUUUAUAUUUUUUGUAGAAAUGGGGUCUCACUAUGUGGGCCAGGCUCUUCUUGAACUCCUGGAUUCAAGACGUCCACCUGCCUCAGCCUCCCAAAGUGCCAAGAUUACAAGCAUGAGCCACUGCAUCUGGCUGAUUCCUUUGUUUUCUUUUUCUCUUUGCCCAUUGCCUGGAUUCCAUAAGCAGAAAGAAAACCCAGGGGCUGACUUUGUAGGCAAGACUCUUUUCUUUUCAAAACAUAAAUUGGUUCAAGUGGUACCAAAACUGAAACAUGUUUACAACUUAACAUCUUUUCUUCCUACCCCUUCAAUCUCUUGAGCAAUGAGAAAAGACACUGAGCUCUUUAUUUGUGUAGGGAAAAGAGAGAUCAAACUGUCACUGUGUCUAUGUAGAAAAGAAAGACAUAAGAGUCUCCAUUUUGAAAAAGACCUGUACUUUAAACAAUUGCUUUGCUGAGAUGUUGUUCAUUUGUAGCUUUGCCCCAGCCACUUUGACCCAACUUGGAGCUCACAAAAACAUGUGUUGUAUAAAAUCUAGGUUUAGGGGAUCUAGGGCUGUGCAGGAUGUGACUUGUGAACAAAACGUUUACAAGCAGUAUACUCGGUAAAAGUCAUUGCCAUUCUCUAGUCUCAAUAAACCGAGGGCACAAUGCACCGUGGAAAGCCGAAGGGACCUCUGCCUUUGAAAGCAGGGUAUUGUCCAAGGUUUCUCCCCAUGUGAUAGUCUGAAAUAUGGCCUCGUGGAAUGAGAAAGACCUGACUGUUCCCCAGCCUGACACCCGUAAAGGGUCUGUGCUGAGGUGGAUUAGUAAAAGAGGAAAGCCUCUUGCAGUUGAGAUGGAGGAAGGCCACUGUCUCCUGCUUGCCCCUGGGAACUGAAUGUCUCAGUGUAAAACCCGAUUGUACAUUUGUUCAACUCUGAGAUAGGAGAAAAGCUGCCCUGUGGCAGGAGGGGAGACAUGUUUGCAGUAAUGCUGCCUUGUUAUUCUUUACUCCGCUGAGAUGUUUGGGUGGAGAGAAACAUAAAUCUGGCCUACGUGCACGUCCAGUCAUAGUACCUUCCCUUGAACUUAAUUAUGAUACAGAUUCCUUUGCUCACAUGUUUUUUGUUGACCUUCUCCUUAUUAUCACACUGCUCUCCUACUACAUUCCUUUCUGCUGAAAUAAUGAAAAUCAUGAUCAACAAAAACUGAGGGAACUCAGAGGCCGGUGCCGGUGCAGGUCCUUGCUGUGCUGAGUGCCGGUCCCCUGGACCCACUGUUGUUUCUCUAUACAUUGUCUCUGUGUCUUCUUUUCUCCGUCUCUCAUCCCACCCGACUAGAAAUACCCACAAGUGUGGAGGGGCAGGCCAACCCUUCAAUUUGGUGACACAUAGCCUGUGCCCUCAAAGAACACUGACACCCCCGUAACAUCCAUUCGAAGAGCUUCUCCAUACCUCCCCUCCUUUAUCCCCAAGGACACUGGGUCAGAGAUCACGGAGUCAUUCACAACAUGAUGUUUAACACCGAGACGCUCUGCAAUUGCUCCUUCAAAACGACUCAGAAGAAGAUCCAGUGCUGAGACAAUCGUGUUCUCUCUCUGGAUCACUGCCCAGAGACAAGGACUGCCAGAGACCCUGGCUUCCCCAGCUGCUGCAUCUCAUUCCUGCGCCUGUGGGAGGAGAGUUCGAAGCUGUGUGACCUUGACCAAGUUACUUACCCUCUCUAAGCAUAUGUUUCCCUAAAUGUGAAAUAGGGAUGAUGGUGAUGUGUUUAUUUCACAGAUUUGAUAGAAGGAUUAAAUGAGAGAUGCACCAAAAGCAGUGGGCACAGGGUCAAUGCUCAGUGAGCUUUCUCUUUUCUUAUCAAUAGACAGGUCUUCAUGAGGACAGAGACUGGCUUCAUCUCGACUGUAGCCUCAGGGCUGGCCACGGUGUCUGCACCCAGCAGGACUUCAGUAAAUAUCUGUUUAUACACUAACCUCAGACUUAGGCAUAAAAGCCCUUUGGAAGAAAGUUGACCAUUUCAUGCACCUUCAGACUAUGAAGAGCAGUGAUGACAACUUUAGCUUGAGAGGGUCUCAGUGCCCAUUCAUCACCACUGUGAAAAGGCAGAAACCAGAGCUGUGUGCUUAACUCCCAGCCCCAAAACCUGUUGGCUUUGCUUUAUCACUAUGAGCUUCCAACGGCAUCCCUUUAGAAUGGGGCAUCUCUCUUCUUCCCCAAGGCACCAGCCUUCACCCCAGACCUAUCCUUAUUAGCUGGUGUCUCCUCUCUGUACUCUGAGCCCAUGCUGUGCUCGUCAGAUAGCAACAUGGGAGAAUACAGCAGCCCAGAAUGCAGGCUGCAGAGUUAGAUCCCCAGAACAGGAUCUCAGCCGGCUCCAUCCUUCCUCAGCUGGGCGACCGUGGCCAUUGACUUCCUCUCUGUGCCUGAGUUGCCCCAUCUGUGAAAUGAAGAUUGUCAUAGUCCCUGCUUCAGAGUCACUGGGAGGAUUAACUGAGAAAAUGCAGGGAAGGUGCUUGGAACUAAAUGUUCAAAAAAAGUCCAUCUGGCCAGGCACGGUGUCUCACGCCUGUAAUCCCAGCACUUCGGGAGACCGAGGCAGGUGGAUCACUUGAGGUCAGGAAUUCAAGACCAGCCUGGUCAACAUGGCAAAACCCCGACUCUACUAAAAAUACAAAAAUUAGCCAGGCAUGGUGGCAGGCACCUGUAAUCCCAGCUACUUGGGAGGCUGAGGCAUGAGAAUCUCUUGAACCUGGGAGGCAGAGGUUGCAGUGAGCCGAAAUUGUGCCACUGCACUCCAGCAUGGGCAACAAGAGCAAAACUCUGUCUCAAAAAAAAAAAAAAGUCCAUCAUUCUUAUUAAUGGAGGCCAAAUCAUCUCAGCGCUUCUUUGGAUGAUCAGUACCCUCCAAGCCAGUGUUAUCCAAUAGACCAGAGGUCCCCAUCCCCCAGACCACAGACCAGUAGUGGUCUGUGGCCUGUUAGGAACUGGGCUGCACAGAAGGAGGUGAGCAGUGGGCUAGUGAGUGAAGCUUCAUCUGUAUUUACAGCUGCUCCCCAUGGCUAGCAUUACCGCCUGAGCUCUGCCUCUUGUUAGAUCAGCAGCGGCAUUAGAUUCUGAUAGGAGCACCAACCCUAUUGUGAACUGCCUGUGGAAGGGAUCUAGGUUGUGUGCUCCUUAUGAGAAUCUAAUGCCUGAUGAUCUGUCACUGUCUCCCACCACCUGGAGAAGGGGUUAUCUAGCUGCAGGAAAACAAGCGCAGGGCUCCCACUGAUUCUACAUUAUGGUGAGUUGUAUAAUGAUUUCAUUAUAUAUUAUAAUGUUAAUAACAAUAGAAACAAAGUACACAAUAAAUGUAAUGCACUUGAAUCAUCCUGAAACUUCCCCCCACAAAUACAUGGAAACUGGUCCUUGGUGCUAAAAAAAAUUGGGGACCACUGCAAUAGACUAUUCAGUCAUGGUCCAAUCAAACAUUCUGCAAUGGCGGACUUGCUCUACUCUGCACUAUCCAACAUGGGAGCUGCUAGACAUCCACAUGGGCUGAUGAGCCCUUGAAAUGUGGCUGGUGAGAAUGAAGAACUGAAUUUUCAAUUUUCUCUUAACUAAAUUUUUUUUUGAGACAGAGUCUCACUCUCUCCUCCAGGCUGGAAUGCAGUGGUGCAAUCUCGUCUCACUACAACCUCCAUCUCCCAGGUUCAAGCAAUUCUCCUGCUUCAGCCUCCUGAGUAGCCAGGAUUACAAGAACCCACCAUCAUGCCCGGCUAAUUUUUGUAUUUUUGUAGAGACGAGAUUUCACCAUGUUGGCCAGGCUGAUCUUGAACGCCUGACCUCAGGUGAUCUGCCCAACUUGGCUUCCCAAAAUGCUGGGAUUACAGGUGUGCCACCAUGCCCGGCCUUAAUUCAUUUCUAAAUCACAAAAUCUAAACAACGAGUGGCUAGGAGCUACCAUAGUGUACAAGGCAGCUGUGGAAUCACAGGAAAUUGUCAAUGACCCUGUCCUGCUUCAAGUUGACUUUUCCCCCUCAUGGUGAGACUCUAGAUUCUUUCCUCUUCUCUCACAUUUUUUAGACUUUCAGGAUUAGACCAUGAAAAUAAGUUCUGUCCUUCCAAGAAAAUAACGUUCAUAACACUUACUAUAUACCAGGCUGAUUUCAGUGCUUUACAUGUAUUAAUUUACAACAACUCUGAGGCAGGAGCUGUGAUUACGCCCAUUUAACAGAUGACAAAACUGAGGCACAAAGCAGUGCUGGAACUUCUCAAAGUCACACAGGUAGCAGGAGGCAGAGCUCGGAUUUGAACUCACUUUGGGUUCAGCAACUCACAGCUCUCACCUAUGACAUAAUAUUACUUCUGUUGUCAAAACACUUAGACCUGGAUUUCACAGGAAUCUUGUGCUUGCCUGGCUGCUAGGGAGGUUUUCAUCAUCUUCCUUAUCUCACAGUUCAAAACCCAGGGCCUCCAUGCUCUUGCUCUGGUGACCGUUCACUGGCAGGAGGCUUCUGGGAAGGUUCUCCUUUUCUGUCAUUUUUCUUAUUCGUGGUUUUUUGUUUCAUUGGUGUUUAUCUGCAGAACUUUGUUUCCUUCUGCUCAAUUCAUAAUCAGAGUGCUUUUCCUCCUGGCUCAAUUCAUAAGUGUUUAUGUAAAAAGAGGUUGGGCACAGAGCCAGGCGACUGAGGACACCCGGCUCAUCUGGCAAGUGGAUAUCAAAUUGUUGUAUCUCGUUCUGCCAUUCCCGGCUCCUGCUGUGGGGCUGGGUCAUCUGCCAGCUCUCCAAGGAGCUGGUGGGAAACCACUGCAAUCAGAGCGAACCGCUGCCCGGGUGAGCCCGCCUAGGCACAGCACUCCAGCUGCCCCCAGUGCCUUUUGGGGACACAUCUGCAUUGCCAGUAAUGCUGCCAGAACCCAUCAAGACACCCAGGAACUGAUGUGCCUUGGCAGAUGAUGCUGGAAAGAUGGGAUUCCCGGCAGCCCUUGCAUCUGUUGCUCACAGCCCACAAGCAUCUCCACUGUCCAGCAGGCAGAGAGCUGAUCAAAACAGCAAAAGCAAAGCAGUGCCCCUGGCCCAGUUCUGAAGCCAACCUUCCUUAAUCACCCAGACCCAUCCCUGGUUAGGACUUGCUGUGGAUUCUCACGUGACUCCAUCUCAGGCUACAGGGACUGAGAGGGUGUAUGCAACAUCUCAGACCCAGAAACCGUUGAUUCUGCCUAAAAACACAGCAAUAACCACAUCUCAUCCUCUUGAUUUAAAUGAAAGGGUAUGGGGGAAUAAAAGAUGAACCUUUUUUUUUCUUUGUCAGAUCUUGCGCUCAUUUGGUUCUGGUGGGGAACAACAGCUAUAAGAGAACAAGUGUAUUCAAUUAGAAUUAAUUCCCCCUCUUAUUCUCAUAGCUGAGCAGGGCUCAAGUGCCUCUCAUCUGAAAGAGGUAAUAAGAUUUAAUCUGUCUCCUCAUCUACCUUCUGCAAGUAUACUUAACAAAUUAGCUCUCGGGACUCUU